RNAcentral lists this unclassified non-coding RNA (2385 nucleotides) under Portunus trituberculatus (swimming crab). RNAcentral describes it as "uncharacterized LOC123499725, transcript variant X5". The record is from RNAcentral. Lineage: Eukaryota; Metazoa; Arthropoda; Malacostraca; Decapoda; Portunidae.
UUUUCCUCGCGGGAUAUGCAAACACUCGCUGUAAAACUAGAAAGAAUUUGACAUUUUCUGCUUUAACAAAUAACUAUAGCUGGAAGAAAGAUGUUGUAAUAACCAACAAAUCAAUAUAUGAAAUUUGUAUAGGUAAUGGUAUAGUUUCUCAUUAAAAACAUAUACUAAGUGUGUUGGGGCAGUCUUUUAGGUGUGUGGAGGGGUUCUCGGGGUGUUAUUAUUAAGAACGGUAUACUGUAUCAAAACGUUUACCACCAAUGAUAGAAAAUUCUGAUGUAGAGGAUGAAAACGAAAAACGGCGAGAAGUAUUGGAGGACGGAGGAACAGCUGAGAGUGAGGACUGACGACCAAUGACAGGCAAACCCAAACAACCUUCCCGCACUGGCAAGUAUUUAGAACUGUUCACCCAUUGGAUCUCCCUGCCUCCUGGGAACAUGUGUGAGGAACGCUGCUGUGAGCGAGGACGUAGUGAGUGACUGCUGGCUUACCUGGUGGAGGCUGCAGGAGGCGGAGGGCGAGGCAAGCAGCUGAGGGUACCAGUGACUGAGGGCGAAGUAGAGGCCGCGGUUAUCUGAGAUGUCUCGUUCAAACAGUGGCGCAGUGUGUGUGUGUGUCACCAGGUACCACUGCCAGAAGAGAGGUAGAAGGUGCAGUCAAUGAGUUCACCAGGGAUCAGGAAUGUCACUGCUGCUGCCACAUUCAGAAAUAUUUUGAGGAAAGAGCUGAGAAGGGUGCCAGUGUUGGGACUACAGAGACAGAUGAGGCAAGAAAGGACAAAGAGGAAAAGAGAAUGAACUCAAAGGAAAGGCACAACUAGCUUAACUCCUGAAAUGAGAACUUAUCCCAUCAAUAUGAAGGUUGUGUACCAUGUGGAGGUGGAGGAGGCAGCAGAGGCUGAGCAGGAAGAGGAGGAAGUGGGUAUUGAGGCAGCAGGUGAUGGUAAAAAUGGAGGAGCCUUCUACUCUGCUGCAUGUAGAAACACCACUCACUAAGCUCCUCCUGCCACUGCUGUCUGGUAUGUCUAGUCCUCCAUGAUAAGGCAAAAACAUCCAUUAGAAAAAAGGAAAAUUGAGAUAACAAUGUUGAAGGAGUCAUGAGAAAAUAUAAAAAGAAAAAAGACAAGAUAAGGCUAAAUACAACUAUUAUAUGGUAAAAUUGGAGCUUUUAAACAAAAAAAAAUAACAUAAUGAUAAUGAUACAUAUAAUAUUUUGUUAGUUUAACCUUUCAAUCUAAUCAGUACUUUUGUGUACCUACUAAAUGCAGUUUCUAUGUGCUCUAGCACAUAGAAGAGGUUAAUUCAUAUCAAGAAUUAACCUCUUCCAACUCUAACCCGCACCUUCCAUACACACACACACACACACACACACACACACACACACACACACACACACACACACACACACACACACACACACACACACAAAAAAAAAAAAAAGCUAAAAUGUAAAUCAGAAGAGCAGUAGCCUCAGGUGUUAUGGCACAGGUGCCUCAGCAGGGCAAGAAGGAAAUGUGUAGGCAUCUGCAGUCAUACUAAGAGGAUAGAGAAUGGAGAGUUUUGUGUAGCUGGAGUUCUUGUUUUUUCUUCCAAGACAAAAGGUGAGUCUCUAGUUUUGCAAAUGAUGUGUCAGAAAAAGCAAUGAGGUUAGUCUCAACAAAUGAUGUCUUGAGAGGCCUAUGGUCCUGGUUUAGCAAAGAUGCCAACAAAAAAGAUACUCACAGCUGAAGCCACCAUGACUGACAAGAUGUGAACUUCUUUUUUUGUAGUGAGUAGGCAACUGAUGACAUCACGCUUCUCUCGCCUCACCGUACAUCAAGAAAAUGACUUACUAGAUAAUGCAAAUCUUUAAAAAAAGUGAUGAAGAGGAAGUAAAAGGAAAAAUCUUUAAGGCAAUAAAAACAAUUAAGUUUUGUUAAGAAAAUUAUUUUGGUUAAAUUUAGGUAAGAAUGGAAAUAAUUUAUAUAUAUAUAAAAAAAAAAAAAAAAAGCCAGAGAAAAAAUGGUACAUUGUGAAAGAGGACUCCACUCCCCUCCCCCUAACCCCAUGGAAAGAAAUGUGAGCGGAUAGUGGCGUUGUCCAUGUAGGCCACGCUCCGCCGUUCCACCUCCUGCCUCCACGCCGCUUACAACAUUCCGUGCAAAGCCACCUCCAGCCCUAGCCCUAAGAAGCACAAUUUCCUGCCUUUCAAGAUAAGCAUGAGCUUAUAAGAAAGUGUGAGGCAGGUAUAGCUCACAGUGUGGUUGCAGCACAAAUGGGUGUCCCUAGAUCAACAAUAUCAUCAAUUUAGAAGAAAAGGGACAAGUACCACAAGACCGCUGCAAGUGUUUAUAUUUCCAAAAAUGUACUGUACAGCACCCUAAUGUGUUUAAUAAAAAAAUGUUCAAUA